Small nucleolar RNA from Cornus florida, 130 nucleotides. RefSeq annotates it as small nucleolar RNA snoR74. The record is from RefSeq and is a predicted model, not a curated record. Lineage: Eukaryota; Viridiplantae; Streptophyta; Magnoliopsida; Cornales; Cornaceae. The transcript has a single exon.
AAAAAAGCAGGGGCUCGUUGCCUUUUGUGGACAAGCCUCUCGUAAACUUCAGGGAAAUGAAUUUGCAUUGUCAUUGGGUGAAUCUCUUGAGUAGUUUGUGAAGGAUGGUUCAGUAUAUGAUGGAACAUUA